UUCUGCAAAUUUCGCCGGAUUCUGGAAAUUUUCCGGCCACCUCGACUGUUUUAGGUGAUUGACGGUCUUCCUUGGGUGAGCGGUUUUGGUGUGUAUUGUGUUGAAUUGAAGACGCAGCGGGAAUAUCGAGCGGGUAAUCCUACAGGUCAGGAGAAUCAGGACGGUGAUCGUGCGGGUUAGAGAAUUUGUUUUAGUUUACAGCAAUUGUAAUUGUGAGGUGAGUUAUGCUCAUUUGAGCCUUACAAUAUAAUUUGGUGAGAGUGUGCUGUAAUAAACAAAUUUGAGAUUUGGUUUAUGUAAUAUCGAGCGAUGUGAGGUGUGGUUGUUUUGAGAAAAAAUUCAGGUUGUAUUUAUGUGAGUUGUAUUAAUUCAUGUUUCGGAUUUGAAUUUGUUAUU
Molecule: long non-coding RNA, 396 nt
Organism: Rosa rugosa (rugosa rose)
Lineage: Eukaryota; Viridiplantae; Streptophyta; Magnoliopsida; Rosales; Rosaceae
Exons: 3
Source: RefSeq, a predicted model, not a curated record